This 497-nucleotide ribosomal RNA is filed under the name uncultured bacterium. Its description in RNAcentral is "partial 16S ribosomal RNA". It matches the Rfam family "Bacterial small subunit ribosomal RNA", at positions 28 to 507 of the family's 1533-position model. The record is from RNAcentral.
GACGAACGCUGGCGGCGUGCCUAAUACAUGCAAGUAGAACGCUGAAGAGAGGAGCUUGCUCUUCUUGGAUGAGUUGCGAACGGGUGAGUAACGCGUAGGUAACCUGCCUUGUAGCGGGGGAUAACUAUUGGAAACGAUAGCUAAUACCGCAUAACAAUGGAUGACACAUGUCAUUUAUUUGAAAGGGGCAAUUGCUCCACUACAAGAUGGACCGGCGUUGUAUUAGCUAGUAGGUGAGGUAACGGCUCACCUAGGCGACGAUACAUAGCCGACCUGAGAGGGUGAGCGGCCACACUGGGACUGAGACACGGCCCAGACUCCUACGGGAGGCAGCAGUAGGGAAUCUUCGGCAAUGGGGGCAACCCUGACCGAGCAACGCCGCGUGAGUGAAGAAGGUUUUCGGAUCGUAAAGCUCUGUUGUAAGUCAAGAACGAGUGUGAGAGUGGAAAGUUCACACUGUGACGGUAGCUUACCAGAAAGGGACGGCUAACUACGUG